GGAAAAAGGAGAAGGGAAGGGGCGGGUGUAACGUCGGGAACUCCGAAGCUCUAGAGUCCGGGAGGCGCCAGCUGCGGCUCGAGCACUAGGUUUCCCCGAAGCCUGAGCCCUGGGGAUGAGAAAGCGGUCGCGGGACCCGGGGUGCGGGAUGUAGGUGUCCACCGCUCUUGGCUGGGGGCUUCACGUCACUCCGGGUCCUCCCCGCCGGUCCUGCCAUAUUAGGGCUUCCUGCUUUCCAUAUAUGGCCAUGUACGUCACGACGGAGGCGGAUCCGUACUGUUCCAGACCCUUCAAAUAGAGGCGGAUCCGGGGAGUCGCGAGAGAUCCCAGCGCGCAGAACUUGGGGAGCCGCCGCCGCCGUCCGCUACCCGCCGCUGCCAGCUUCCGCCGCCGUCGCAGGACCGGCCCCUGCCCCAGCCUCCGCAGCAGCGCCGCGUCCACACCAGCCCGCGGCGAAGGCGAACCUGGGGAUUCCACUUGCGUUCUCCCCAGUGCACCCCACACCCCGCAUGUGACCUGGCUAGUCCCCCGCAAGUGUGUCCCCCCGGCGGCUCCAUCCCCGGGCUGCGCCCACCCGCCCCAACACCGGCUCUCCAGCCCGCUCGUUCGGGAUGGCCGCGGCCAAGGCCGAGAUGCAGCUGAUGUCUCCGCUGCAGAUCUCCGACCCAUUCGGCUCUUUUCCUCACUCGCCCACCAUGGACAACUACCCCAAGCUGGAGGAGAUGAUGCUGCUGAGCAACGGGGCACCCCAAUUUCUCGGUGCUGCCGGGGUCCCAGAGGGCAACGGCAGUAGCAACAGCAGCAGCAGCAGCGGGGGCGGUGGAGGUGGAGGGGGCGGCAGCAACAGCAGCAGCAACAGCAGCGCCUUCAACCCUCAGGGGGAGCCAGGCGAGCAGCCCUAUGAGCACCUGACCGCAGGUAAGCAGUGGCCUAGCCAACGACGAGCCCCCUUGUCUACUACCAUUCUGACGGCCAAUCCUUCACCGCAGGAGUGCUCCCAUACCACAGGGAUGCAAUCGGGGUUUCCCUUCCAUUCGCGCAUCUCCAGGGGCAUGUGUUAGAAGGAAGCCCGGAGACAACCCCCAUCCUCGACCCUAGUGGUGCGCAGAAGACUGAGCUUUUGGAUGGAGAGCUCUAGAGCUGCGUGGGUGGGUGGAGAGGGGGAGGGCUUGUUUUGAUGAGCAGUGCUGGGCCCCCAUCCCCCUCCUGAAAGGCUAGCCUUGCCUACUGCCUGUCCCCAAGGAAGGGCCGAGAUUUGUGGCCUGGGAUGUCCCGGCAGCCCAGGGUAGGGGGCGCGCACUAGCCCUGGCCAUGGGGGGUGCUGGCGGGAAUCCCUCACCCGCGCAGCCGCUGCUGCGGAGCGCUGGGAGCUGCAGUGGAGGGGGAUUCUCCGUAUUUGCGUCAGCUGUUGAAACGGGCUCUGCCACUGGAGCAGGUCCAGGAACAUUGCAAUCUGCUGCUAUCAAUUAUUAACCAGCUCAGGAGUCAAUGGUAGCCUGCCGACCUCUUGCCUGGCAGCUCGAGUCCUCCUUGUUCUCCAGUGAUUGUUCUCCAGUAACCAGGCCUCUCCCCUUUCUCUCUCCUGCCAGAGUCUUUUCCUGACAUCUCCCUGAACAAUGAGAAGGUGAUGGUAGAGACAAGUUACCCCAGCCAAACCACUCGGCUGCCCCCCAUCACCUACACUGGCCGCUUCUCUCUGGAGCCUGCACCCAACAGUGGCAACACCUUGUGGCCUGAGCCCCUCUUCAGUCUAGUUAGUGGCCUGGUGAGCAUGACCAACCCACCGGCCUCCUCAUCUUCAGCACCAUCUCCAGCGGCUUCCUCCUCUUCCUCUGCCUCCCAGAGCCCACCACUCAGCUGCGCAGUGCCAUCCAAUGACAGCAGUCCCAUUUACUCAGCGGCACCCACCUUCCCCACGCCCAACACUGACAUUUUCCCUGAGCCACAAGGCCAGGCCUUUCCGGGCUCUGCAGGCACAGCACUUCAGUACCCGCCUCCUGCCUACCCUGCUGCCAAGGGUGGCUUCCAGGUUCCCAUGAUCCCCGACUACCUGUUUCCACAGCAGCAAGGAGACCUGGGCCUGGGCACCCCAGAUCAGAAGCCCUUCCAGGGCCUAGAGAGCCGUACCCAGCAGCCUUCACUUACUCCACUCUCUACUAUAAAGGCCUUUGCCACUCAGUCGGGCUCGCAGGACCUAAAGGCCCUCAAUACCACCUACCAGUCCCAGCUCAUCAAACCAAGCCGCAUGCGCAAGUACCCCAACCGACCCAGCAAGACGCCCCCUCACGAACGCCCUUAUGCCUGCCCAGUGGAGUCUUGUGAUCGCAGGUUCUCCCGUUCUGACGAGCUCACUCGCCACAUCCGCAUCCACACAGGCCAGAAGCCCUUCCAGUGUCGCAUUUGCAUGCGCAACUUCAGCCGCAGUGACCAUCUUACCACUCACAUUCGCACCCACACAGGCGAGAAGCCCUUUGCCUGUGACAUCUGUGGGAGAAAGUUUGCCAGGAGUGACGAGAGGAAGAGGCAUACCAAGAUCCACUUGCGGCAGAAGGACAAGAAAGCAGACAAAAGUGUUGUGGCCUCUUCGGCCACCUCCUCCCUUUCUUCCUACUCAUCCCCAGUUGCUACCUCUUACCCAUCCCCUGUCACUACCUCUUACCCAUCCCCUGCCACCACCUCAUACCCAUCUCCAGUGCCCACUUCCUACUCCUCUCCUGGCUCCUCAACCUAUCCAUCCCCUGUGCACAGUGGCUUCCCCUCACCCUCUGUGGCCACCACCUAUGCCUCGGUUCCCCCUGCAUUCCCCACCCAGGUCAGCAGCUUCCCUUCCUCGGCUGUCACCAACUCCUUCAGCGCCUCCACAGGUCUUUCGGACAUGACUGCAACCUUUUCUCCCAGGACAAUUGAAAUUUGCUGAAGGAAAAAUGAAAACAAAGGGAAAGGGAGAAAAAAGAAACACAAGAGACAUAAAGGACAGCAGGAGGAGAUGGUUGAGAAAGAGGGGGAAUCUCCUAGAUGGAGGUUCUCAGAGCCAAGUCCUCCCUCUCUACUCAGAGUGGAAGGUCUGUUGGCCAACAAUCCUUUCUUCCUGAUUCCCCUUCCUCCCUAAUUCCUGUUCCCUUUGACUUCAGCUGCCUGAAACAGCCAUGUCCAAGUUCUUCACCUCUAUCCAAAGAACUUGAUUUGCAUGGAUAUUGGAUAAAUCAUUUCAGUAUCAUCUCCAUCGUAUGCCUGACCCCUUGCUCCCUUCAAUGCUAGAAAAUUGAGUUGGCAAAAUGGGGUUUGGGCCCCGUAGAGCCCUGCCCUGUACCCUUGUACAGUGUCUGUGCCAUGGAUUUUGUUUUUCUUGGGGUACUCUUGAUGUGAAGAUAAUUUGCAUAUUCUAUUGUAUUUGGAGUUAGAUUCUCACUUGGGGUGGGGGGGAAGAAAAGCCAAGCAAACCAAUGGUGAUCCUCUAUUUUGUGAUGAUGCUGUGACAAUAAGUUUGGAGCUUUUUUGAAACAGCAGUCCUAGGUAUUAAUCAGAGCAUGUGUCAGAGUGUUGUUCCGUUAACCUUUUUGUAAAUAUUGCUCGACUGUACUCUCACAUGUGGCAAAAUAUGGUUUGGUUUUUCUUUUCUUUUGAAAAUUUUCUUCCGUCCUCUUGGUUUAAAAAGUUUCACGUCUUGGUGCCUUUUGUGUGAUGCGCCUUGCUGAUGGCUUGACAUGUGCAAUUGUGAGGGACAUGCUCACCUCUAGCCUUAAGGGGGGCAGGGAGUGCUGAUUUGGGGGAGGCUUUGGGAGCAAAAUAAGAAAGAGGGCUGAGCUGAGCCUUGGUUCUCCAGAAUGUAAGAAAACAAUCUAAAACAAAAUCUGAACUCUCAAAAGUCUAUUUUUUUAACUGAAAAUGUAAAUUUAUACAUAUAUUCAGGAGUUGGAAUGUUGUAGUUACCUACUGAGUAGGCGGCAAUUUUUGUAUGUUAUGAACAUGCAGUUCAUUAUUUUGUGGUUUAUUUUACUUUGUACUUGUGUUUGCUUAAACAAAGUGACUGUUUGGCUUAUAAACACAUUGAAUGCGCUUUAUUGCCCAUGGGAUAUGUGGUGUAUAUCCUUCAGAAAAAUUAAAAGGAAAAUAAAGUAGAUGUGA
RNAcentral lists this long non-coding RNA (4125 nucleotides) under Marmota monax (woodchuck). Lineage: Eukaryota; Metazoa; Chordata; Mammalia; Rodentia; Sciuridae. The record is from RNAcentral.